CUCAUUUUGUGGUUCAUAAACAUAAUGAUUGGGUGUUCACGUUGUUGUGUGAGAUGUGCUUCCCUUAGACCUUGUUAUGACAUUGGCAUAGUACCCAUCUGGUG
Molecule: small nucleolar RNA, 104 nt
Filed under: Tupaia belangeri chinensis (Chinese tree shrew)
Lineage: Eukaryota; Metazoa; Chordata; Mammalia; Scandentia; Tupaiidae
Description: Tupaia chinensis (Chinese tree shrew) Small nucleolar RNA U13
Rfam family: Small nucleolar RNA U13
Source: Rfam by way of RNAcentral